RNAcentral lists this ribosomal RNA (253 nucleotides) under uncultured bacterium. RNAcentral describes it as "partial 16S ribosomal RNA". It matches the Rfam family "Bacterial small subunit ribosomal RNA", at positions 524 to 776 of the family's 1533-position model. The record is from RNAcentral.
UACGGAGGGAGCUAGCGUCGUUCGGAAUUACUGGGCGUAAAGCGCACGUAGGCGGCUACUCAAGUCAGAGGUGAAAGCCCAGGGCUCAACCCUGGAACUGCCUUUGAAACUAGGUAGCUAGAAUCUUGGAGAGGUCAGUGGAAUUCCGAGUGUAGAGGUGAAAUUCGUAGAUAUUCGGAAGAACACCAGUGGCGAAGGCGACUGACUGGACAAGUAUUGACGCUGAGGUGCGAAAGCGUGGGGAGCAAACAGG